This 502-nucleotide ribosomal RNA is filed under the name Nesophrosyne sp. 138 GMB-2012. Its description in RNAcentral is "partial 16S ribosomal RNA". Lineage: Eukaryota; Metazoa; Arthropoda; Insecta; Hemiptera; Cicadellidae. The record is from RNAcentral.
UAAGAAUUUAAAAGUCGAACAGACUUACUUAUAAGAAUACUGCUUCUUAAAAUUUUCUUAAUUCAACAUCGAGGUCGCAAAAUAAAAUAUAGAUAUGAACUCCCCAUUAAAAUUACGCUGUUAUCCCUAAGGUAACUUAAUCUUACUAUCCUUUAAAGGGAUCUAAAAUUACACAAACAAAUGAUUAUUAAAACUAAAGUUAACUAUUUAAUUACCACCCCAGCAAAAUACAAAAAUUAAGCCAUUAAAAAGUAUAUUAAUAAAACUUAAUAAUAUAAAAUUGUAUAAAGUUCUAUAGGGUCUUAUCGUCCCAAUAAAUUAAUAAAGCAUUUUAACCUUAAAUUUAAAUUUUAAUAUUUAAAAAAAUAAAACAUAAUUCUCAUACACCCAUUCAUACAAGCUUCCAAUUAAGAAACUAAUUACUAUGCUACCUUUGCACAGUCAAAAUACUGCAGCCAUUUAGAAAUAAACCAUAGGGCAGAAGAUACUUUUCAUAAAACCA